GAGUUUGAUCCUUGCUCAGGAUGAACGCUGGCGGUAUGCUUAACACAUGCAAGUCUAAUGGUUAUUUUGACCAGUGGCGGACGGGUGAGUAAUAUGUAAGAAUCUGCGUUUAGGUGAGGGAUAACAAGCGGAAACGCUUGAUAAUACCUCAUAGUGCUAUUAAGUUAAAGAUUUUUCGCCUAAACAUGAGCUUGCAUCUGAUUAGCUUGUUGGUGAGGUAAUGGCUCACCAAGGCUUUGAUCAGUAGUUGAUUUGAGAGGGUGAUCAACCACACUGGGACUGAGAUACGGAACAGACUUCUACGGAAGGCAGCAGUGGGGAAUAUUGCACAAUGAGCGAAAAGCUUGAUGCAGCAAUACCGCGUGGAGGAUGAAGGUUUUAGGAUUGUAAACUCCUUUUCUUAAGGAAGAAUAGUUGACGGUACUUAAGGAAUAAGCAUGGGCUAAUUCCGUGCCAGCAGCCGCGGUAAUACGGGACAUGCAAGCGUUAUCCGGAAUUAUUGGGCGUAAAGAGUGCGUAGGCCGUCAUAUGUGUUUAAUAUUAAAUUUUAAAGCUCAACUUUAAACUUGUAUUAAAAACUGUAUGACUAGAGUACAUUAGAGGUAAAGGGAAUUUUCAGUGUAGCGGUGAAAUGCGUAGAUAUUGGAAAGAACACCGGUGGCGAAGGCGCUUUACUAGGUUGAUACUGACGUUGAGGCACGAAAGCUAAGGUAAUGAAUAGGAUUAGAUACCCUAGUAGUCUUAGCUGUAAACGAUGGAUACUAAAUGGUGCUUAAGCAUUGUUAUAGCUAACGCGUUAAGUAUCCCGCCUGGGGAGUACGCUUGCAAAAGUGAAACUCAAAGGAAUUGACGGGGGCUCGCACAAGCAGUGGAGCAUGCGGUUUAAUUCUAUGCUACCAGAAGAAUCUUACCAGAAUUUGACAUGCCAAUUAGCUUUUGUAGAAAAGUUUGCUCGUUAGAGAAGUUGGACACAGGUGGUGCAUGGCUGUCAUCAGUUCGUGUUGUGAAAUAUUUAGUUAAGUCUAGCAACGGACGCAACCCUCUUUUUUAGUUGUUUUUUUAAUUUCUAAAAAUACUGCCGGUUAUAAAUCGGAGGAAGGUGAGGAUGAGGUCAAGUCAUCAUGCCCCUUAUAUUCUGGGCUACACGCGUGCUACAAUGGUUAAGACAAUGAGUUGCCAGUCCGCGAGGGUGAGCUAAUCUCAUAAACUUAGCCUUAGUUCAGAUCGUAGGCUGAAACUCGCCUUCGUGAAGUUGGAAUUGCUAGUAAUCGCCUAUCAGCUAUGUGGCGGUGAAUACGUUCUCGAGCCUUGUCCACACCGCCCGUCACACCAUGGAAGUUGGCUAUGCCUGAAGAUAGUCUUUUAACUUUAUUGAGAAAGCUGUUUAUGGUAGGGUUAGUAACUGAGGUGAAGUCGUAACAAGGUAGCCGUACUGGAAGG
This 1440-nucleotide ribosomal RNA is filed under the name Trachelomonas zorensis. RNAcentral's name for it is "bacterial SSU rRNA". It matches the Rfam family "Bacterial small subunit ribosomal RNA". Lineage: Eukaryota; Euglenozoa; Euglenophyceae; Euglenales; Euglenaceae. The record is from RNAcentral.